ACAUUUACAACCGAUGAUGCUCAAACGGUGAUCAGUCACAUGAUGGCGCGGCGAGAGCGGGAUCAGAUUUUUUUGAAGUACUUGCUUGAUGAAUUUGGCCAUCUAAAGGGACUGUUCUGGUCUGAUAGUCAAUCCUAACUUGACUACGAGGCUUUCAGAGACAUUAUUGUUUUUGAUAGAACAUACAGAACAUAUAAGUACAAUACGCCAUUUGUGCCGUUUGUCAGGUUGAAUCACCACCGUAACACUAUUAUUUUUGGAUGUGGUGUCAUUUCUCAUGAAACAAGCCAGGAAUACAAGUGGAUGUUGCGGGGCUUUUCUGAUGCCAUGGGACAGAAGAAUCCGAUAUAUGUGAUCACGGACAGAGACCUUGCAGUGCAGAGAGCAAUCAGGGUGGUUUGGCCUGACUCAAACCCCAGGUUGUGUAUAUGGCACAUUCAGUAGAACAUUGUACGUCAUCUGCAUGAUUCGGCGGUAAAGGAGGAACUCAAAUCUUUCAUAUAUGAUUAAUUUUCCAUUGAAUAGCAUGAGAGAAAAUGGAUAAAUUUGUUACAACAGAAUAAAGUAACCAGCAAGGAGUCCUAGCUGCAUGAGAUGUAUCGGAGGAGAAAGUUGUGGUGUUCUCCAUAUCUUGAAGGGUCUUGUUUCCUAGGUUUGAGCAGUAAUCAGCGGAGUGAGAGCUUGAACUCUGUGCUACAUACGUAUCUUGAGGGUAAAAUUACGUUGUUUCAAAUACCAGAGCACUAUGAGUGUUGCCUUGCGUUGUGACACUUGAACGAGGCUCUCUAAGACAUCGAGGCCUUUAAGUCAGUUCCAUUUACAGAGGAAAAUGCUUCAAUUAUUGAGAAUCAUGUCGCAAAAGUUUUCACUCCUACUUUUAAGUUGGUCUUAUAGAGCAUAAAUGUUGUCAACAAAUGAAUGAUCAGAGAGGUACUAGAUGCAUCAGAUGUUACCACCUAUGUUGUGUCUAAGAAGAAAAGAAUGGAUAAAUUGUUCAAAGUGCACAGUGAGGAGCAGGAAUGUCUUUUGCACCGGAUUAGUUGUUCUUGCCGUAAGGUGGAAUGUGCAGGCAUACCAUGUCCCAACAUUUUGAUAUUGGGAGUUUUACAAGACGAAAGACUGCCCAGGUGUUGUGUUCCUACUAGGUGGACAAUGAGUGCAAAAUCUACAUACGCACCGACUAGAAAGAGUGAGAUGUAUGACUAUUCGGCAAGCCUGCAAAGGUACCGUUUGUGGAAUUUUAGUCAUGCGACAUGUUUCAAGGCAUGCCACUCUGAUGAGGCGUAUUAGCGUCUAAAGAUGGUUUUGGAUGCACAAGAUGAUAUCAAGGAAUCACCUAUUGAAUAA
This 1347-nucleotide ribosomal RNA is filed under the name Triticum aestivum (bread wheat). Its description in RNAcentral is "partial small subunit ribosomal RNA". Lineage: Eukaryota; Viridiplantae; Streptophyta; Magnoliopsida; Poales; Poaceae. The record is from RNAcentral.